Molecule: non-coding RNA, 119 nt
Filed under: Clostridium bornimense
Lineage: Bacteria; Bacillati; Bacillota; Clostridia; Eubacteriales; Clostridiaceae
Description: FMN sequence
Rfam family: FMN riboswitch aptamer (RFN element)
About the family: The RFN element is a highly conserved domain that is found frequently in the 5'-untranslated regions of prokaryotic mRNAs that encode for flavin mononucleotide (FMN) biosynthesis and transport proteins.
Source: Rfam by way of RNAcentral
AGAAAACUUCAGGGAUAGGUGAGAUUCCUAUACUGGCGGUAUAGCCCGCGAGCUUUUAGUAAAGCAGAUUCGGUUAAACUCCGGAGCCAACAGUAAAGUCUGGAAGGAAGAAGGGAAGA